RNAcentral lists this small nuclear RNA (107 nucleotides) under Jaculus jaculus (lesser Egyptian jerboa). The record is from RNAcentral. Lineage: Eukaryota; Metazoa; Chordata; Mammalia; Rodentia; Dipodidae.
GUGCUUGCUUUGGCAGCACAUAUACUAAAAUUGGGAUGAUACAGAGCAGAUUAGCAUGGCCCCUGUACUAGGAUAACAUACAAAUUUGUGAGGCUAUCCAUAUUUUA